This 403-nucleotide ribosomal RNA is filed under the name uncultured bacterium. RNAcentral describes it as "bacterial SSU rRNA". It matches the Rfam family "Bacterial small subunit ribosomal RNA", at positions 8 to 403 of the family's 1533-position model. The record is from RNAcentral.
AGAGUUUGAUCAUGGCUCAGGAUGAACGCUAGCGGCAGGCUUAACACAUGCAAGUCGAGGGGCAGCGAGAUCAGUGCUUGCACUGAUUGUCGGCGACCGGCGCACGGGUGCGUAACGCGUAUGCAACCUACCCAUUACAGGGGGAUAACACUGAGAAAUCGGUACUAAUACCCCAUAACAUCCAGGGAGGCAUCUUCUUGGGUUGAAAACUCCGGUGGUAAUGGAUGGGCAUGCGUUGUAUUAGUUAGUUGGUGGGGUAACGGCUCACCAAGACCACGAUACAUAGGGGGACUGAGAGGUUAACCCCCCACAUUGGUACUGAGACACGGACCAAACUCCUACGGGAGGCAGCAGUGAGGAAUAUUGGUCAAUGGACGCAAGUCUGAACCAGCCAUGCCGCGUG